This is a long non-coding RNA of Heterocephalus glaber (naked mole-rat), 3120 nucleotides long. Lineage: Eukaryota; Metazoa; Chordata; Mammalia; Rodentia; Bathyergidae. The record is from Ensembl.
UGUGGCUGAGGGUUACUGGAGACGGAAGACCCACCCUGGGUGCUCGUGACACCAACCCAUGGGCGUCCACCUGAAUGGAAUAAAAAGAAAUGAAGAAGGAAGACUCGUGUCUGCUUCUUCCGAGGAGCUCCAGUCUUUGCCUUCCCCUUGGAUGUCACCUCCUGGAUUCCAGAGCAGACUCUUCGGAUUCUAGUACCGACCCUUCCACCUCCCAUGACAGACCCUUUGGGCUCCUGAUACCAACUUGCACAAAACACUGCAGUGAGCUCCAGGCCUUCAGCUGAGUCCUUCAGAUGUCCAGCGUGCAGCCAGACCUUGUGCAUUUUUCCACUCCUGACUCUGUGGGCAGCCAUUGUAAGCAAAUCUUCAUGGACAAAAGAUUGGGCAAUUACCGCCAUCAUCUCCACUUCCCUGCUCACCUCCAAGGACUUCCACUCACCUCCGUCAUUUCCAGCAGCACCAACCUUCAGUACCCCAGCAACACUGCGCACUUCCACCCUACUACCAGCCCCCGCUGCUCCUCCGCCUCCGCCACCAUUCCGCAAUGACUCCCAGCAUCACACGAGCAACCUCCUCACCCUCAGGGCCUCCCACACCACACCCAGACCUUCCGUCCACACCCCAGUUUCACCAUGGACUCUGUCACCACUGUCCCACUGUCCAGCCAACGCUCACGCCCUGCAGUCACCACAGUCCUGGCCACAGCAGCGCUGACGGCAGACAGGGUACUUGAUGCUCAUAAUCCCUAAGCAGCACUGAAGGCAUUUGGUCUUGGCUUGUCUAUGGGGAAGUUAAACAACCUCUGUAGGUUCUCACGACUUCUCGUUUGUGGAGCAAUGAUCCCGCUCCACGAUUCUCUGUAUCCCAAACCUGUGACCUUGUCAUUACAGCAGCCUGUGCUUCUGCCUACAUAAUCAUCCUAUUUUGAAAGGCCCAACUGUAUUUUCUUCUCUAGAGUAUAGAAUGGACUUUCUUCUUCCAGACUUUAUUCACUACAGAUAUGAGGAGUUAAUCUUGUCUGGGAGAGAUUGUCUCAGUUAUUGAAACAACAGGAAGUUAAAGUCACGACAGAAAGACAAGGCACAGAAAGCUUAAAGGGGGUUGGUAAGAGUGGCAGAGUCACAUGUGGGGCUGAAAACCAUCAUCAGCGUGGGCCCUGAUUGCUGCUCUGGGGGGCUCAGCCCUUCCAGCUGAGGUAGGGAGGAGCAGCACCCUGAAGUGAGGUCCUCUUCCGGUCCUGAUGAGAUUUCCAGACUUUAUGGAGGGAUAUGCAGAUACGUUGGUUUUGCUUUGAAAGAUUUUUAUCUGCCACUUUGUAGUUCUUUCUGUCAUAAACUUGAACUGAAAAGGAUAUUAAAUUGAGAGAAACAACAUAAUACAUUCUUAUUUUUCACAUACACACAAGAGACUCUUAGUAGGCUUUGUCUCCACUCCCAUGUAGAAGGAAGUUUGGAUGAUGUCUUAGCCCAGUUUUCACUGCUCCGCCAAAGCUAGCAUCUCCUCCAUCCAGUGAAAGAGAAAAUGGAUUUAUUAACUGUCCUAUUGACACUUGUGAGAUGCCUCAGGCUGCCUAUCUGACAGAACCAGAAACCCUGAGCAGUGAUUCUGUACUACAGGGAGAAGCUACCAAGAGGAAGUGGGCAAAGUGCAUAAAUGAAGAGUCUCUUCUGUGCUCGAAAGCCUGAUACUCUACUUUAUGUGUUCAUAUUAGAGAACACUUAUUUCUCCACCUAGAUCAGCAGACUCUGUCACUUUGAAGCCUCUGGGGCAUAUAUUUCUCCUUCUGUUAUCCCUAUGAGGUUGUUUUGCAAGUAUUUGCAAAUAUAGCACUUGUUAGGAGACCCUCCACAGAGGAAGACACUGCACACUCUUCUCAGGCCUGUCCACAGAAAGGGACGCAGGCAUCCAUUACACAGGAGUAACCAGGAGCAGUUCUGACUCACCUCCCUGCUUCAUCCACAAAGACACCCGGAAGGAUGGCAUUGCACAUUCUUAAGACUCUUCCAAGCAUCUUGUUCUUCUUUCUAUUUACAGAAGUUAAGGAAACAAAUCAUCUCAUCAGAUAGUUUAUGGAUAUCUUUGGACCUAUGGUAAAAGCCAUUAUCCAAAAGUACAAAUAUAUAGAAAAGACUCACAAACAAGUCUGUGUCCUCAGGCCACUGAUGGCCACUGAGAUUGCUGCUUUUGAACCCUCCAUCUGUUGGCGAAUGGGAUAACUUUCCUCAGGAGAAUGUGCUGGUGGAGACCUGGAGGGACAAGUAUCUCUGUGCAAGGAGCAGCUGGCCUUUCUUUCAGAGCACACAUCACCCCUCAGCAGCCUGGGCUGAUGCAGCGCUGUGGCUCAUUUUGCUCCCAGGACCUACUAAAUAAUGAGUCUGAAAGCUGCAUUCAUAGCAUUGAUGAGGAGUGCCGUGCCUGGCACCAAAACUACCAUGUUGGUAAUCGCCUUUGGACUGAGAGAGUAAGCAGCACAGAAUGCCUGUGUUCCACCCUCAGGUGAGACGGAGACGCGCCCCAGGGCCAGGGCCGGAGGACGUCGCUUCUUUUCCAAGCCGGUUUGGGAAAACGAAACAUGGUUUGCUUGACCCGUUUCAGUUCUGAUUUGUCCACGAGAGCUCUACCGGUGCACCCCAGUCACAGUGUCGUCCCGUGCACCCCGAGAAGACUCUGCUCCUCCUCCUCCUCCGCAGAGCCUCACUGCUCCGCAGACCUCUGUGCCUCUCGUCAAGGCGUGAUGAUUCCAAACAAAAUCCAAGAUGCGGUAAUCUGUUAAGUGCAGUGCCCAUGCUCCCUUCUGGCUGAAAAAGAACGCAUUUGAAUCACACAUUCCCAUACUAAAGCAUUUAGAGUGGUGUCUAUGGUGUGCUUCAUUUCUACAAAAAUAAUUCUACUACUAGAAAAGGCAUCUCUUUCAAUAAACAGUGCAAUAAGGGCCUGGCUUGAGGACUCCGGGCUGUAACUCACUCUUUUGGAUAGCUACGGAACAUCAGUGUGCUGGGUAUUCCAUGAUGUACUCAAGCCUCACUACUGAGGAGGGUUCUUCUUUCCACUAUUUGCCCAUUAAAAAUAAAGAAUGCUGCAUUUAACAUAUUUGAAUAUGAUGCUUCCAUAUUCAUAGGA